RNAcentral lists this ribosomal RNA (467 nucleotides) under uncultured bacterium. RNAcentral describes it as "partial 16S ribosomal RNA". It matches the Rfam family "Bacterial small subunit ribosomal RNA", at positions 29 to 507 of the family's 1533-position model. The record is from RNAcentral.
ACGAACGCUGGCGGCGUGCUUAACCCAUGCAAGUCGAACGGAAAGGCCCUGCUUUUGUGGGGUGCUCGAGUGGCGAACGGGUGAGUAACACGUGAGUAACCUGCCCUUGACUUUGGGAUAACUUCAGGAAACUGGGGCUAAUACCGGAUAGGAGCCCCUGCCGCAUGGUGGGGGUUGGAAAGGUUCGGCGGUUGGGGAUGGACUCGCGGCUUAUCAGCUUGUUGGUGGGGUAGUGGCUUACCAAGGCUUUGACGGGUAGCCGGCCUGAGAGGGUGACCGGCCACAUUGGGACUGAGAUACGGCCCAGACUCCUACGGGAGGCAGCAGUGGGGAAUAUUGCACAAUGGGCGGAAGCCUGAUGCAGCAACGCCGCGUGCGGGAUGACGGCCUUCGGGUUGUAAACCGCUUUCGCCUGUGACGAAGCGUGAGUGACGGUAAUGGGUAAAGAAGCACCGGCUAACUACGUG